GGACAUGAGUUUGAGUCAACUCUGGGAGGCCUGGCGUGCUACAGUCCAUGGAGUCGCAAAGAGUCCGUCAUGACUGAGCGACUGAUCUCAACUGAACUGAAUCCAUUCUGCCACAUGAUGGGCUUACUGCAUCAGCAAUAUCCACCCUGACCUUGUGAUUAAGCAAGAAAUCCAUAGCAGAUAAACGAUUUGUCCCCACUGCAAAAUGCAAGGCUUUGAGGUUCAUCUGAGGAAACACAAUGUGUAUCUUCAGUCAUCUGAUUGCUAUUUCGCCUCCUUAAGAUUCCUGGUUCUUGAAGUAGCCAUAAGUUUUUUUUUUAACCUGGUGUUCGUGUUUUGAUUAUCUACUCUUUGCCUUGUCUUUAUUUAUUUUUUUGUUUUGAUUUUGAGAAUAAUUUAAUACAUUAACUUUGACAUACAACUAUAUUCUAAUGUUAGUUUUAAAUGUAAAGAAACAGAUCCUUACAAGACCAAAAUAACCCACAGGCCAUGAGAUUGGUUUUUUGUUUUUCCUUUUUUGUUUCAACAGAUGUGCACCACAAUGGUUCCACAUGUAAGGCAAAUGCCGUGAAUAUGAAAGCUACAGUUUACCACACAUCUAGAACCCAGGGGAGGUGAAUUAGAUGGAAGUGGUAGUCAUUCUAAUUAAACAAUCAGGAAACAUCAUGACAAGUUGGUUUGCAGCAUCAAAAGUGUCCAUUUAAGUGUCUUUUUUCUUAAUGAUCAGAGGUCCCACGUUGUCUCCAGUUUCUUCAUUGUGUUUUGUGUGAGAUCCAUCACAGAGUGGGAACUUGUAUGCUGGACGUCAUACUCACGGCGCCGACGCUUGCAAGGGUGUGCACAGGACACUGAGCACAAACCGGCUCGCGCGGACCUAUUCUUUGCCCUGUCUUUAAAAGCAGUGAGAACUGUAUCCAGCAUAAUCUGACAUUUCUCUACUAAUAUAUAACACCAGAGAAUUUAGCAACCAACUGGAGUGUAUACAGCAAGCUGAAAUCCAUUGCAUAACCUAUGACUGAUUAUAACAAUAUAAUAGAUUUCAACUAGAGUGUAACAGCUGUAUUUUUCCUGUGUGCAAUCAUUAAUAAUGGUAGAAUAUACUGAUAAUGCAUAACAGAAAUUCUCCUAGUUCAGUCCAUGUAUGGCUCUUUCCCUUGUAGUUUUUUGGACUGUGAAUUGUAUUGAAUCAAACAAAUCAAGAAAGAGAAAGAAAGAAACAAAAAGAAAGAAGGGAGGGAGAGAAGGAAGGAAAGA
RNAcentral lists this long non-coding RNA (1254 nucleotides) under Capra hircus (goat). RNAcentral's name for it is "lncRNA (ENSCHIG00010007440.1)". The record is from RNAcentral. Lineage: Eukaryota; Metazoa; Chordata; Mammalia; Artiodactyla; Bovidae.